GGAUGAAGAACGUAGCGAAAUGCGAUACUUGGUGUGAAUUGCAGAAUCCCGUGAACCAUCGAGUCUUUGAACGCAAGUUGCGCCCGAAGCCACUAGGCCGAGGGCACGCCUGCCUGGGCGUCACACGCCGUUGCCCCCCCAUCUACUCCUUCGGGAUUGCGGGGGGGCGGAUGAUGGCCUCCCGUGCGCCUAGCCGCGCGGUUGGCAUAAAUACCAAGUCCUCGGCGACGCACGCCACGACAAUCGGUGGUUGCGAAACCUCGGUUGCCCGUCGUGUGCGUUCGUCGCGCAUCGAGGGCUCGAAAAAAUGCUCGGCUCCGGCUGGGCUUUCAACGCGACCCCAGGUCAGGCGGGGUUACCCGCUGAAUUUAAGCAUAUCAAAAGCGGAGGA
This 391-nucleotide unclassified non-coding RNA is filed under the name soil metagenome. Its description in RNAcentral is "partial contains 5.8S ribosomal RNA, internal transcribed spacer 2, and large subunit ribosomal RNA". The stretch from base 2 to 123 matches the Rfam family "5.8S ribosomal RNA", at positions 35 to 154 of the family's 154-position model. The record is from RNAcentral.